GGGUUGUGAGGUUAAGCGACUAAGCGUACACGGUGGAUGCCUAGGCAGUCAGAGGCGAUGAAGGGCGUGCUAAUCUGCGAAAAGCGUCGGUAAGCUGAUAUGAAGCGUUACAACCGACGAUACCCGAAUGGGGAAACCCAGUGCAAUUCGUUGCACUAUUGCAUGGUGAAUACAUAGCCAUGCAAGGCGAACCGGGGGAACUGAAACAUCUAAGUACCCCGAGGAAAAGAAAUCAACCGAGAUUCCCCCAGUAGCGGCGAGCGAACGGGGAGGAGCCCAGAGUCUGAAUCAGUUUGUGUGUUAGUGGAAGCGUCUGGAAAGUCGCACGGUACAGGGUGAUAGUCCCGUACACAAAAACACACUUGCUGUGAACUCGAUGAGUAGGGCGGGACACGUGACAUCCUGUCUGAAUAUGGGGGGACCAUCCUCCAAGGCUAAAUACUCCUGACUGACCGAUAGUGAACCAGUACCGUGAGGGAAAGGCGAAAAGAACCCCGGCGAGGGGAGUGAAAUAGAACCUGAAACCGUGUACGUACAAGCAGUGGGAGCACCUUCGUGGUGUGACUGCGUACCUUUUGUAUAAUGGGUCAGCGACUUAUAUUUUGUAGCAAGGUUAACCGAAUAGGGGAGCCGUAGGGAAACCGAGUCUUAACUGGGCGUCUAGUUGCAAGGUAUAGACCCGAAACCCGGUGAUCUAGCCAUGGGCAGGUUGAAGGUUGGGUAACACUAACUGGAGGACCGAACCGACUAAUGUUGAAAAAUUAGCGGAUGACUUGUGGCUGGGGGUGAAAGGCCAAUCAAACCGGGAGAUAGCUGGUUCUCCCCGAAAGCUAUUUAGGUAGCGCCUCGUGAACUCAUCUUCGGGGGUAGAGCACUGUUUCGGCUAGGGGGUCAUCCCGACUUACCAAACCGAUGCAAACUCCGAAUACCGAAGAAUGUUAUCACGGGAGACACACGGCGGGUGCUAACGUCCGUCGUGAAGAGGGAAACAACCCAGACCGCCAGCUAAGGUCCCAAAGUCAUGGUUAAGUGGGAAACGAUGUGGGAAGGCAUAGACAGCCAGGAUGUUGGCUUAGAAGCAGCCAUCAUUUAAAGAAAGCGUAAUAGCUCACUGGUCGAGUCGGCCUGCGCGGAAGAUGUAACGGGGCUAAACCAUGCACCGAAGCUGCGGCAGCGACACUUAGGUGUUGUUGGGUAGGGGAGCGUUCUGUAAGCCGUUGAAGGUGGACUGUGAGGUCUGCUGGAGGUAUCAGAAGUGCGAAUGCUGACAUAAGUAACGAUAAUGCGGGUGAAAAGCCCGCACGCCGGAAGACCAAGGGUUCCUGUCCAACGUUAAUCGGGGCAGGGUGAGUCGACCCCUAAGGCGAGGCUGAAAAGCGUAGUCGAUGGGAAACAGGUUAAUAUUCCUGUACUCGGUGUUACUGCGAAGGGGGGACGGAGAAGGCUAGGCUAGCCGGGCGACGGUUGUCCCGGUUUAAGCAUGUAGGCGGAGCGACCUGGUAAAUCCGGUUGCUUAUCAACGCUGAGGUGUGAUGACGAUGCACUACGGUGCAGAAGUAGUUGAUGCCAAGCUUCCAGGAAAAGCCUCUAAGCAUCAGGUAACANNAGCCGAAGCCAGUCGCAGAUACCAGCUGGCUGCAACUGUUUAAUAAAAACACAGCACUGUGCAAACACGAAAGUGGACGUAUACGGUGUGACGCCUGCCCGGUGCUGGAAGGUUAAUUGAUGGGGUCAGCCGCAAGGCGAAGCUCUUGAUCGAAGCCCCAGUAAACGGCGGCCGUAACUAUAACGGUCCUAAGGUAGCGAAAUUCCUUGUCGGGUAAGUUCCGACCUGCACGAAUGGCGUAAUGAUGGCCAGGCUGUCUCCACCCGAGACUCAGUGAAAUUGAACUCGCUGUGAAGAUGCAGUGUACCCGCGGCAAGACGGAAAGACCCCGUGAACCUUUACUAUAGCUUGACACUGAACAUUGAGCCUUGAUGUGUAGGAUAGGUGGGAGGCAUCGAAGCGUGGACGCCAGUCUGCGUGGAGCCAACCUUGAAAUACCACCCUUUAAUGUUUGAUGUUCUAACUCGGCCCCGUAAUCCGGGGUGAGGACAGUGUCUGGUGGGUAGUUUGACUGGGGCGGUCUCCUCCCAAAGAGUAACGGAGGAGCACGAAGGUUAGCUAAUCACGGUCGGACAUCGUGAGGUUAGUGCAAAGGCAUAAGCUAGCUUGACUGCGAGAGUGACGGCUCGAGCAGGUACGAAAGUAGGUCUUAGUGAUCCGGUGGUUCUGAAUGGAAGGGCCAUCGCUCAACGGAUAAAAGGUACUCCGGGGAUAACAGGCUGAUACCGCCCAAGAGUUCAUAUCGACGGCGGUGUUUGGCACCUCGAUGUCGGCUCAUCACAUCCUGGGGCUGAAGUAGGUCCCAAGGGUAUGGCUGUUCGCCAUUUAAAGUGGUACGCGAGCUGGGUUUAGAACGUCGUGAGACAGUUCGGUCCCUAUCUGCCGUGGGCGUUGGAAGAUUGAGAGGGGCUGCUCCUAGUACGAGAGGACCGGAGUGGACGAAUCACUGGUGUUCGGGUUGUCAUGCCAAUGGCAUUGCCCGGUAGCUAAAUUCGGAAGAGAUAACCGCUGAAAGCAUCUAAGCGGGAAACUUGCCUCGAGAUGAGUCUUCCCUGGGGCUUUAAGCCCCCUGAAGGAACGUUAAAGACUAUGACGUUGAUAGGCUGGGUGUGUAAGUGCAGCGAUGCAUUGAGCUAACCAGUACUAAUGAUCCGUGAGGCUUAACCUUACAACACCGAAGGUGUUU
This 2792-nucleotide ribosomal RNA is filed under the name Yersinia frederiksenii. RNAcentral describes it as "bacterial LSU rRNA". It matches the Rfam family "Bacterial large subunit ribosomal RNA". Lineage: Bacteria; Pseudomonadati; Pseudomonadota; Gammaproteobacteria; Enterobacterales; Yersiniaceae. The record is from RNAcentral.